UUCAUUCCACAGCUCCGUCAAGUGGCAGUCGAUCAGAGCCAAUUGAUCAAAUAUAGACUAUCAAUAACCAGCAAUGACUAUUUUCGCCUUUUCACAAUAAUUACAUGUUUUUGGGGCUUUCAGUUCAGACAUGGACGAGUCGAGACCAGACCAGACCAAGUCGAUUGGACUUGAUUAAACACAGUUGUUCAAAUUUUCCACAAAGAAAUGUCCAUAAAGAGGAUAAUUAUCUGGUUUGCCUAACGAUUGGAUCAAUGAAAUCAGUAAUACAAAUUUCCUUAUUUCAUUUUUGUGGGAUUAUAUCUUGGCAGAAGUCAUUAACUCAAGGAUUAGCUCUGAGCCAAGUUAAGCGGAACCUACAAUACAUUUCAAUGAAAAUAAAAGAUGUAUUCUUUGCUUAUGUUCCAAAUAAAUUAGUGUUGUUGUU
Drosophila willistoni is the source of this 427-nucleotide long non-coding RNA. RefSeq lists it as uncharacterized. NCBI's taxonomy places the organism in Eukaryota, Metazoa, Arthropoda, Insecta, Diptera, Drosophilidae. The record is from RefSeq and is a predicted model, not a curated record. The transcript is spliced from 2 exons.